CCCUUAGAUGUUCUGGGCCGCACGCGCGCUACACUGACAGAGCCAACGAGUUCUAUCCAUUCCUUGGCCGGAAGGCCUGGGUAAUCUUGUUAAACUCUGUCGUGCUGGGGAUAGAGCAUUGCAAUUAUUGCUCUUGAACGAGGAAUGCCUAGUAAGCGCGUGUCAUCAGCACGCGUUGAUUACGUCCCUGCCCUUUGUACACACCGCCCGUCGCUACUACCGAUUGAAUGGCUCAGUGAGGCCUUCGGACUGGCUCGGAAAGGUUGGAAACGGCCAUUCCGAGCCGGAAAGUCGGUCAAACUCGGUCAUUUAGAGGAAGUAAAAGUCGUAACA
This 333-nucleotide ribosomal RNA is filed under the name uncultured eukaryote. RNAcentral describes it as "partial 18S ribosomal RNA". It matches the Rfam family "Eukaryotic small subunit ribosomal RNA", at positions 1470 to 1796 of the family's 1831-position model. The record is from RNAcentral.